This 117-nucleotide non-coding RNA is filed under the name Papio anubis (olive baboon). The record is from Rfam by way of RNAcentral. Lineage: Eukaryota; Metazoa; Chordata; Mammalia; Primates; Cercopithecidae.
GCUGGGUGCAGUGGCUUAUACCUGUAAUCCCAGCACUUUGGGAGGCCGAGGCAGGGGAAUCACCUGAGGUCAGGAGUUCGAGACCAGCCUGGCCAACAUGGUGAAACCCUGUCUCUA